RNAcentral lists this ribosomal RNA (305 nucleotides) under uncultured bacterium. RNAcentral describes it as "bacterial SSU rRNA". It matches the Rfam family "Bacterial small subunit ribosomal RNA", at positions 337 to 635 of the family's 1533-position model. The record is from RNAcentral.
UCCUACGGGGGGCAGCAGUAGGGAAUUUUCGUCAAUGGGCGCGAGCCUGAACGAGCAAUGCCGCGUGAACGAGGAAGAUCUUCGGAUCGUAAAGUUCUGUUGAAGGGGAAAAAGAGCGGAGAGAGGAAAUGGUCUCCGAUUGAUAUUACCCUUCGAGGAAGUCACGGCUAACUACGUGCCAGCAGCCGCGGUAAUACGUAGGUGGCGAGCGUUAUCCGGAAUGAUUGGGCGUAAAGGGUGCGUAGGCGGCCUGCUAAGUCUGGAGUGAAAGGUACCGGCUCAACCGGUACAGGCUCUGGAAACUG